RNAcentral lists this long non-coding RNA (1447 nucleotides) under Anas platyrhynchos platyrhynchos (common mallard). RNAcentral's name for it is "lncRNA (ENSAPLG00000023526.1)". The record is from RNAcentral. Lineage: Eukaryota; Metazoa; Chordata; Aves; Anseriformes; Anatidae.
AUGUGCAGGACACUUGGGUCAGGAAGGCAGGGGAUGGAUUUCUUUCCUUCCUUCCUUCUUUAUUUUUUAAUGGAAAAUAAAAUUGCAAAAUUCUCAGAGAUGCAGUACAAAAGCUGCCACUUGAAUUUCCCUCAGGAAUUUCACGCUUUCUCCCGCAGAGCAGUCACUUGGCUCUGCAGGGCUCAUGUCAGAGGGGAUUUGUUACUGGCACAGCUGGAGCUGUUUGCUGCUAAAGGGAUUAAGGAGCUGGGCAGAGCCCCACAGGUGAGAAUCGCCAGCUGCUGGGGGGGGGGGAGGCAGGGGGGAUUCUGGGGGCACUUUAUAAAUGCCCUCUGUGGCCUAAGGGCCCUUUUGGUGUUUCCUUGCAUGAGCCCAGAGGGAAGAACCCCCAGGAAGGGGAACAAGGGCGCAGACCCAACCACGUGCUGUUUUGGAAGAGUUGCGUAAGAGGGAAGCGGAGAGGAGCCCAAGCAGCAGAUUGCUUUGUGGAGGAGCACGGAGCAGCCGUAGCCAGGGCUGCCGCCUCUCCCCGCUGCUGGCACAGCUCAGGCAUUUCGGCUGGAUGAAGCGCACGCGUUGUGGGCUCCGCGGCGUUCCUGGGAGCGUCUCGGUGAGCGUGCGGAGGGCGGGGGAGCCCAGGGGGGCGUGCAGGCACCGCAUGCUCUUCUUCCUCAUGGGCCUGCUCCUCUGCGGGCUCCAGCGGGGAGCUCCCAGCCGUCCCCGUUUGUGGGAUGGCCGGGGUGGUUGGGGGGAGCUGCAUGAUCCCAUCCCUCCUGGAUCUUGGGGAGCUGCGUGUUGGGAGUGCAGGUGCCAGCCCCCGGCUGCUCCCUGCCCUGCUCCUCUCCAGGGGCUGAAGCCGCUUUGCAAAGACACCCGGGGGCAGGUGGGGGGCUGCCAGCACCCCCCUCUGCAGCAGCCUGGGGAGCUCCGGGGGCUUCCCUGCUGAUGCUGUUCUGGGGAGAGGAGGAGGAGGAGGAGGAGGAGGAGGGUGGCACCCACUGGGCUGCCUCUCCCGCUGCCCUAACCCCAUCGAUCUGUGCCGAUCCCGGGCUGAUGAGAUGUGUGAGGCGAUCGAUAUACCUGCAGCGCUGCGAGCGCGGGCAGGGUUUAACCCCUUGUGCCCUCCCCACCGUGGGUCCCCCCUGUGCCUCUGGGGGUGCUGGCAGGGCACUCGGGUCUGGCUGCUCAGGCUGUGGUCUGUGCAUCACCGCCGCCUGCUAGCGGGCACGGGGGGGCUCAGAUCACACCCCUACCACUGACCGUGUGUCCCGUGAUGUCCCCUGCUGUGCCUGUCCCUGCUGGGUGCGCCACCAGCCUGCCCGGCCCCAGCCUUUGAGCUGCCUGCUUCCUUGGGGAUGUUUUAGCCUUGUUUUGCCUCCUCAGAAAACUCCAGAGAGGGGCAUGGGAAGAGUGGGGGGAGGAAGGAAAGGGAAGGGGAGGGAGGGGG